AAUAUCCAUAAGAGAAGGUGUUGGUUGGUCGACCAAGGGCGGCGGCGCCAUCUUCCAAAAAACUAACCAUCCUUCUGUAUCGGAACAUAACCCAACCCAAAACCCUAACUACUAAACCCCAAAAAUCAACUAGAAUUGGCCUCCAAAACUCGGUUCAAGCAGCGAUUCAAGCAUAAAAACAACCAACAAAACCGUAAAGCCAUGAAAAUCAAGCCAAACUGAAGAAUCACAACAAACCCUACGCUACUAGCAAUUUAGUCAGGUACGAAGCACAAAAUGCAAACAUGAUAAAGGCGGAUCCGUUACAAGUGAAACAAGGAAAGAAAAUAACUACCAUCCGGAAGUUAUCGGGGGAAGCUUCUCUCAGGUGCAUCUCUAAAACUCUAGAUUUCUAUUUAAUUCCUCUCCUUUACUCUACUCUCCUUCUCCCCCUUCUCUUGAUGCUUUUGUUGUGACUAUUGUGUUCUGUUUUUGUGUUUUUGUUGCUUUAGUGUAGUUGUGUGUUAAGGUUUUAGCUCAACUGUAUCAAAGCUUCAAGGUGAAGCUCUGAGUAGUUAGAAUCUAGAGCUAAAAUGAGGGUAUUUGGGUGUAGUAUUUAGCAGAGUAAUGGUGCUUAAAUGUUGAUGCCAAUGAAUGAAACAUUGUAGGGUAUUUAUAUAAAGUGAGAUGAGGGUGUGAGGUACGUGUGAGCAGAAUUGAGGGAGAUAUUCUCCUCUCUUAAGCAUCUGCCAUUUUGCAAAUUGGAUUAGGAUAAGAAUGAGGAAAAAAAGUUGUUAUAGGGCUUUGCAAUCAUUCCUGAUUUUGUAGGAUUACGAGCGAGGUUUGCGUGAGGUAAUGUUGAUAAAGGGUGAGGAUGAGGUGAGAUCAAAUUAUGUCGUGAUACAAUUGAAGUGUGUUUGUUGUAAGGGGAAUAUGAGUUUCAAUUAUGUGAGGUAUGUGUGACUUGUGGUUCCCAAUUGCUCAAUUGUAUGUAUGAUGGUAUGUAUGUGUGAUGUUAUGUAUGUACAAUGUUGUUGUUUUUUUGCACUUUGUUGAAUUAAUUUCUUUUUUUAUUUUGAAUUAGUUUGAAUGUGAUGAAUGGUUUGAAUGCAACAUGUAUUAAGAUGUAUGAUGUUCUCAUUUGUAAUUUGUGUUGUUUGUAAGGUAAUGUGUGAUAUGUAUAAGGUUAAGCAAUAAUGAAGAUGAUGCAACACGGCUGGUGAAGAGAUGCAGUAGUGAUGGUUAUGAAGUGUGCAUGAGGAAUGAAAGCAUGCACACACAAUGAUGUUGAUGCUGGAUGAACGUACAUGAUGGAACAUGGGUGGGUGGAAGAAUUCACACACUACACCUGAGAGGAGUACGAAGAGGAAUUUGCACAAAGUUGAUUUCAUUUCUUUUUCUCUUUUUUUUCUCAAUUUUUUUAGUAAAAGUUUGCACUUGUUUCUAAACAUAAUUUAGAGUGCACUCUAACUGUAUUUUUAUUUGACAUUAAUAAAACAAAAGUUUAUCUUAAAACUCUCACUUUUAUAUUUUGUAAAAUAAAAAUAAUAAUCUAAAACCAAAGGUUGUUUCAUGCUAGAAAUAUUUCCUUAUGAUGACACACUAUUUUUGUGAUGAUAAAUGCAAAUGCAACCAAGAAUAUCAAGAGAAUCAAACUCUAAGGAUCAAGCAUUUUGAAAAGGGGACAAAAUGUCAACUCAAUAAAAAGCCAAAAACAAAAGUCAAUACUUGUACCUUUUACCUAAACUCAAAUAUUAGAAAAGAGAAGAUUAAUGCAAAUAAGAUCUUGGCCAAAAGUCCACAGAGUUAAACUGUUGACUUUAAUUCAAGAGAAAAAUGCUAGUGAGUGAUAGUGAUGCAAAUGAAUUAUUAGUAGAGAAUUAAGAGUUAAACUGUUGACUUUAACUCAAGAGAAAAAUGCUAGUGAGUGAUAGUGAUGCAAAUGAAUUAUUAUUAGAGAAUCAAAAUUAAAUGAUCAACUCUUGGACCUAAUACAUCUAAUACCCAUUCAUAAACAUAGUGAAAAAAAAAGAUUCAUAUGAAAUGACACUGAGAUCUAUGAUUAAAAAAACAAUUAUCAAAAGUCAACUCUUGGAUUUUUGACCCAUAAUCCUCAAUCACAAAGGCAAUAAUGCUCUUCAGAGACCCAUAUGAAAUCAAAUACUCUAGGUUUAUCAUCCAUCUGGAACCCUGAGAAAUGACAUGAAAGGAAAAAUGAUCUAAGGCUAAGGAAUACUCUUGAUUCCUCAAUCAGCAGACGAAUGCAUACCCAUAAGGUCAAAUGACAAUGCUAGAAACCUUGACUUUUCAUCUAAACUCUAAAGAAUGUUUUAUGUUUGAUUGAAUGCAUGGUCAAAUAAAAUGAUCAAACUAUGUUGAUGCAGAUGAAAAACUUAGGGUAAAAUUUAGGGUAUGACACGUAGGUGUCGUUCUCCAGGAGGAAAUGUUUCACCAACCAACAAUGAGAAAACAUGGGUCCGCACUUACCUUCUACUCCCGACUCAACCCCAUAGGUGGUCGCACAAGCCAGGGGAUGAAUGAGAGUAACCAUGAAAAACCAUUCCGCAAUCGGUGGAAAGUCAGGAAAGUCUUCAAAACCCGUAUCGCCGGCACCAAGAGGACCAAGUCACAUUCUCUUAGUUGGGAAGAGUACCCCUUUGGAAGCGAAAGAGUUGAAAGAACAAGCUGACAUAGGGGUUUCCCUUCAGAUAUUCAGACCAGUACAUAUAGGCUUUCACGUACGCCCAACCCGACGGAUGGAGGUGCGAAGGAGCCACCAUCCAAUAGUUAAAAGCACCAACCUCAAAUGCGGUAAAGGGAGGGCGAACACCCAAGGCCGAGAAGAGAUAUUCAUACACAGUGAUGGUAUAGUUACCAUACUCACUACAUAGUCUGCCAUGCCGCGCUAAUGGUCUCAAGUACAAGAAGAAAAAGCCUCAAAAGGAAAAAAGAGGUAAUUGCUCGAGAAGGAAGAGAAAAGAAAGGUCUAAAAUGGAAGUGACUCUAGUUCUUCCUAUACUUAUGUGCUGACAAUAUGAAAAGAAAGGCGUCCUAUCAACAAUCACAUUCCUCGCACGUAACACUCAAGUGUUUUAGUUUUCAAGAAUGACUAUAAUGACUCCUCUGAAUAGACGUUUGACGUUCCAAACACCAUAAGCAUGCAAAAGGGUGAUCGGUAGCCGAUGACGAAAUUCUUCAAACCCUGACAAUAAUAUUCAAGCACGAGGGUUUGAGGGCAACUUUUCUGAACCGACCAUCUUGAGAUAGGCUGCUCCGGGCUAAGACUUAUCAGCUGACCACACAAUCAUGUUGAUGAAGUCUUCACCUUAUCACAUAACUACCCUGCAUCUCGCAGCACGAGAUUUUCAUCUCAGAAUAAUAUAUAAUUAUAUAUAUAUUUAUAUUAUAUAUAUAAUAUAUAUAUAUAUAUUAUAUUAUAUAUAUAUAUAUAUAUAUAUAUAUAUAUAUAUUAUAUAUUAUAUAUAUAUAUUAUAUAUAUAUAUAUAUAUGGAAUGACAUGAUUUUAAUUAAUAAAUUUCAAACACAAUUUAAAUACUCUUUAUUCUUUUAUAUAAUGACUUGAAUAUCAGAGUGUGAAUGUUACAAAUACAUUACACUCUACCGCAUCAAAAACUUCCACGUCUAUCUCAAUUUCUGGAUCCAAAACAAAACAGUGCCCCAAUAACAUAUUGAAAAGCCACCCUAAAUGUUGAUGGAACAACUCUAUAAUAAGAAUAUUUCUAUUCGGAAACUUUUUCUACUUCUGUAUAUGCAUAAUGCGUUAUUAUGCAUGUACCAAAUCAAGGAAUAUAUCCAACUUAAUUUUGAAAUGAUAGAGACUGGCACUGCAACAUACAUUAUGUCAUCUAGCUUGUUGUUGCUACGCACCUUCGCCAUAAAAUAUAUCUAAAUGUUAUUCCAAAAUUAAUGGGCAUGCAUGGAUACGUAACUCAGAAUCUUCAAAUCUCACAAUUUCAUUGUGGUUAGUUUAAACCUAUUUUAUUUUCUCUCUCUUAAAUUAUAAACCUUCACACUUAAGAUGAAAUUCACAAUGGAAACUUAUAAUUAGAGACAUAGAGUAGUUGCAAAUACUUCAAAGACAAAGUUAUAGAAAUCAAAAUUAUAUUGAAAGUAACCAAGAUUAUUCUAAUACAAUGCAUAUUGUUAAAGCCUCAAUGUCUCACAAAAAUAGAGGGGUUGGUUAAUUAUAUUAUAAAAAAAAGGCCAUUUUUGGAUGUUUGCAUUUGCACUAGAAUAUGAGCUUCCAUGAUAUGUAUUUGCCUAAAGCCAAAGAGCACCAGCAUCUCUAAGCAUUUUCUUGAGUGAUCCAUUGAGAUGAAGGGUCAUGACUAUGUUGGCUGAACCAACAAACUUGCCACCAAUGAACACUGCCGGAACACUAGGGUUACAUCCUAAUCUUAUGAGAGCCCAUUCCAUUUCCUUUCCUCUUUUAUCUUCAUCUAGCUCAUAGAUUGCUGGACCAACCCCUUGCUCAUAAAAUAGCCUCUUGAUUGCAUGGCUCAUCCCACAUGAACUCUUGCUAAAGAUCACCACCGCCUUUUGCGACGCCAAUUUCGAUACUCGAUCCAUCUAAAUGUAUAAAUAUGAAGUUUUGGAGUAUUUUUUAAAGUAUAUAAUUAUAUAUUAAUUAUAUAUUGCAAUAUACGAUUUGAUUCUGAUCUCGAGAAUUCGCUCGAGUCCGGAGAAAACCCUAAAAUUUUAAAGAUAAGAUUGAUCUAAGAGAAGGGAAAACAACUCAAUUGAAGACUAGAGAGUGUUUUGUAUUA
Molecule: long non-coding RNA, 4766 nt
Filed under: Lathyrus oleraceus (garden pea)
Lineage: Eukaryota; Viridiplantae; Streptophyta; Magnoliopsida; Fabales; Fabaceae
Description: Pisum sativum (pea) long non-coding RNA (PSAT_LNC003694)
Source: RNAcentral